AAUUUAACCGAGACUAAAAUGCAUUGCUAAAUACAAGAAUACUUGACCAACCAAUACUAACUAAUGAGAGAUACACCUUAAAUACCUUCAGGCCCAUCUAGAACCACAAAGUAUAAUCACGCACACACUUACAUAUAAAACAAACACAAAAUGAACGAUAAAAGCAAGAAUAAAACUUCU
This 180-nucleotide ribosomal RNA is filed under the name Nasutitermes corniger. RNAcentral describes it as "partial 12S ribosomal RNA". The record is from RNAcentral. Lineage: Eukaryota; Metazoa; Arthropoda; Insecta; Blattodea; Termitidae.